This 2167-nucleotide ribosomal RNA is filed under the name Salmonella enterica subsp. enterica serovar Stanley. RNAcentral's name for it is "partial 23S ribosomal RNA". It matches the Rfam family "Bacterial large subunit ribosomal RNA", at positions 699 to 2762 of the family's 2925-position model. The record is from RNAcentral. Lineage: Bacteria; Pseudomonadati; Pseudomonadota; Gammaproteobacteria; Enterobacterales; Enterobacteriaceae.
GUUGCAGGGUAUAGACCCGAAACCCGGUGAUCUAGCCAUGGGCAGGUUGAAGGUUGGGUAACACUAACUGGAGGACCGAACCGACUAAUGUUGAAAAAUUAGCGGAUGACCUGUGGCUGGGGGUGAAAGGCCAAUCAAACCGGGAGAUAGCUGGUUCUCCCCGAAAGCUAUUUAGGUAGCGCCUCGUGAAUUCAUCUCCGGGGGUAGAGCACUGUUUCGGCUAGGGGGCCAUCCCGGCUUACCAACCCGAUGCAAACUGCGAAUACCGGAGAAUGUUAUCACGGGAGACACACGGCGGGUGCUAACGUCCGUCGUGAAGAGGGAAACAACCCAGACCGCCAGCUAAGGUCCCAAAGUCAUGGUUAAGUGGGAAACGAUGUGGGAAGGCCCAGACAGCCAGGAUGUUGGCUUAGAAGCAGCCAUCAUUUAAAGAAAGCGUAAUAGCUCACUGGUCGAGUCGGCCUGCGCGGAAGAUGUAACGGGGCUAAACCAUGCACCGAAGCUGCGGCAGCGAACGUAUCACCCAAGACAACUUUACGGAGUUGACGAUUGACGGAGCGAAGCGACGUCAAAGCGUUCAUUAAAGUCGAGUUGGCUUAGGGAUACGUUCGUUGGGUAGGGGAGCGUUCUGUAAGCCGUUGAAGGUGGCCUGUGAGGGUUGCUGGAGGUAUCAGAAGUGCGAAUGCUGACAUAAGUAACGAUAAAGCGGGUGAAAAGCCCGCUCGCCGGAAGACCAAGGGUUCCUGUCCAACGUUAAUCGGGGCAGGGUGAGUCGACCCCUAAGGCGAGGCCGAAAGGCGUAGUCGAUGGGAAACGGGUUAAUAUUCCCGUACUUGGUGUUACUGCGAAGGGGGGACGGAGAAGGCUAUGUUGGCCGGGCGACGGUUGUCCCGGUUUAAGCGUGUAGGUGUGUGUUCCAGGUAAAUCCGGUUCACUUUAACACUGAGGCGUGACGACGAGGCACUACGGUGCUGAAGCAACAAAUGCCCUGCUUCCAGGAAAAGCCUCUAAGCAUCAGGUAACAUCAAAUCGUACCCCAAACCGACACAGGUGGUCAGGUAGAGAAUACCAAGGCGCUUGAGAGAACUCGGGUGAAGGAACUAGGCAAAAUGGUGCCGUAACUUCGGGAGAAGGCACGCUGACACGUAGGUGAAGUGAUUUACUCAUGGAGCUGAAGUCAGUCGAAGAUACCAGCUGGCUGCAACUGUUUAUUAAAAACACAGCACUGUGCAAACACGAAAGUGGACGUAUACGGUGUGACGCCUGCCCGGUGCCGGAAGGUUAAUUGAUGGGGUCAGCGCAAGCGAAGCUCCUGAUCGAAGCCCCGGUAAACGGCGGCCGUAACUAUAACGGUCCUAAGGUAGCGAAAUUCCUUGUCGGGUAAGUUCCGACCUGCACGAAUGGCGUAAUGAUGGCCAGGCUGUCUCCACCCGAGACUCAGUGAAAUUGAACUCGCUGUGAAGAUGCAGUGUACCCGCGGCAAGACGGAAAGACCCCGUGAACCUUUACUAUAGCUUGACACUGAACAUUGAGCCUUGAUGUGUAGGAUAGGUGGGAGGCUUUGAAGCGUGGACGCCAGUCUGCGUGGAGCCGACCUUGAAAUACCACCCUUUAAUGUUUGAUGUUCUAACGUGGACCCGUGAUCCGGGUUGCGGACAGUGUCUGGUGGGUAGUUUGACUGGGGCGGUCUCCUCCUAAAGAGUAACGGAGGAGCACGAAGGUUGGCUAAUCCUGGUCGGACAUCAGGAGGUUAGUGCAAUGGCAUAAGCCAGCUUGACUGCGAGCGUGACGGCGCGAGCAGGUGCGAAAGCAGGUCAUAGUGAUCCGGUGGUUCUGAAUGGAAGGGCCAUCGCUCAACGGAUAAAAGGUACUCCGGGGAUAACAGGCUGAUACCGCCCAAGAGUUCAUAUCGACGGCGGUGUUUGGCACCUCGAUGUCGGCUCAUCACAUCCUGGGGCUGAAGUAGGUCCCAAGGGUAUGGCUGUUCGCCAUUUAAAGUGGUACGCGAGCUGGGUUUAGAACGUCGUGAGACAGUUCGGUCCCUAUCUGCCGUGGGCGCUGGAGAACUGAGGGGGGCUGCUCCUAGUACGAGAGGACCGGAGUGGACGCAUCACUGGUGUUCGGGUUGUCAUGCCAAUGGCACUGCCCGGUAGCUACAUGCGGAAGA